RNAcentral lists this unclassified non-coding RNA (413 nucleotides) under Hevea brasiliensis (rubber tree). Lineage: Eukaryota; Viridiplantae; Streptophyta; Magnoliopsida; Malpighiales; Euphorbiaceae. The record is from RNAcentral.
UUUUCAAAAAAAUUUGCAUAGCGCUAGGCCAUUACGUUACAUUACAGUCGUUACAGACUUGUUUCCAUUACCUGUGACCGCGAUAUGAAACCAUGUUACAGAUUUAGAAAAGGAAAGACCUGAAGCUAAAAAUCACAUAUUUCAAAUGUCCACAUAUUGUCAAAUCCUUUUGAUGAAGAAUUCUGGGAAUUCCAACAUGCAUAAGCAUAUAGAUGUAGGCAAGGUCAAUGUCCAGUUCUAGGCCAGAACCAGUUCCAGUCCUAAGGGCUGGGGAGCUGGGACCUGACCGAAGUGUUGCCCUCAGUUUUGGUCCCAAUUCUGUUCUGGUUCGGUUUAAUCAGGUUCAUGACAGUCAAAUUCUUUUAUUUUUAUAUUUUUUAAAAGAGAAAAAAUCUGGUUUUGAUCUGAAACUG